CACAAAUCUAACCACGGCAACCCUUAGGAGGAAGAGCAAUUGCUGCCCUCUGCGCCAGCAGGACUGGGUGGCCCAAAGAAUCAGCAAAUGAGAGGUGGUAGUGGCUCUCCUGGUGUGGUUGGUGACCCUGGACAACCUUGCCAUCAAGUUAUUGGACAAAGACUGGACACUCUGGGGAUUCAUUCUUCAGAUAGAGAGGAUGUGUGCGGCCUUUGAGACUCAUCCAAGAUUUAUUUAUUUCAUGUAUGUGAGCACACUGUCACUGUCUUCAGACACACCAGAAGAGGACAUCGGAUCCCACUACAGGUGGUUGUGAGCCACCAUGCUGUUUCUGGGAUUUGAAC
Long non-coding RNA from Rattus norvegicus (Norway rat), 344 nucleotides. Lineage: Eukaryota; Metazoa; Chordata; Mammalia; Rodentia; Muridae. The record is from Ensembl.